Molecule: long non-coding RNA, 750 nt
Filed under: Homo sapiens (human)
Lineage: Eukaryota; Metazoa; Chordata; Mammalia; Primates; Hominidae
Description: HSALNT0155810
Source: RNAcentral
GAAACAGAUCCCAGCUGUGGCCCUCUUCUCUGCCCUGCCCCAGCCUUGGCCCCUUGCCUUCUCUGGGCACUGCCAGUUCUCAGGAAAGGCGGUGCCUUCUGUGUGUCCAGAUCACUGGCUCCAUGGGGGUCAAGAAGCUGGGUGGCACCUGUGCUGCACACGGAUAUGCUUAAACAAUCUUGCAGCCUUGGGGGUGGGGCUGGAAACCAGGAUCGGCUUCCAUUGCAGGGGACUGGCAGUGCAUCGGGCCUAUGUGUGGCCGGGCUGGCUCUUCCAAUGGGCGUUAUGCACCUGGCACAGAGCAGCUGCUCAAUAAACCUGCAGAAUGAGAAUGAAUGUCUAUCGCUUGCACCAGACUGUAAGCUUUGUUAGAACAAAGAUUCUCUUCUGUUCAUCUUUUUAUUCUCAACAUCUUGCACAGAGCCUGCCAUAUGGCGGGGACAUGGAGGCCCACGGAGUACCUGGCAGGCCCACAGUCCACAGGUUGGAAAGAGGUGCCCAAGCCCUGGACUUUAAGCCUGGGCUCUGACCUUCAACGUUUGCUUUUCACACCACACAUCAUGUCAAUAAAUAGUUACUGGAUGCCUGUUGUGUGCCAGGCCCCAAGACGGGUGUUGCGUGACUGACAACAGAAAAAGCAUCUCAGUGGCGAGGGAUAAGCUAGAUCAUGGGCAUUAGUGUAAAUCUCCCAGGGUUCAAAUUCCAGCUUCUCCACUUCCUGGCUAUGAUUUUUUUUUUUUUUUAGACGGA